This 429-nucleotide long non-coding RNA is filed under the name Brassica napus (rape). Its description in RNAcentral is "long non-coding RNA (BNAP_LNC012882)". The record is from RNAcentral. Lineage: Eukaryota; Viridiplantae; Streptophyta; Magnoliopsida; Brassicales; Brassicaceae.
CACCAUCCACCACACCCAAUGUAUUGUCUCCAGCCGAUACAUCCAUGGUCGACUAUCAUCCAAAUCACAUCCAUAUACUAUAUAUAUAUAUAUAUAUAUAUAUAUAUAUAUAAUCAAUUAUAAAUGAACAAGCAUUGUUGAACCAUCUAACACACUAGUUCCGGUUAAGCAAACAACCUAAAACUAAGCAAACAAUGACAGACUCGAUCUCACGUAGACGGAGUACAUUAGAAAUAAAUUAUACUUAUUCGAGGUCUUAAGCCGUGUAAGAGAAGCUCGGGAAAAGACCCUCACCUUAGCUAAUAUUGGAGAUGAAUCACAAAAAUGCUCCAAGAUCUCGUCCAACAAAACUCAGUCCAACUUUAGAAUUAAUUACUUGAAAUACAAGUAACACUAAAGUUGCAUGAUUGCAUCCUGCGCGCAUGUGCA